AUGUCUUGCACUAAACUCAUAUCGCUUACCCUGGUUGUCCUCUUUAGCAUUGGAUUAGCAAGCGCUGGUAGGGUAUCUAGAUACUCUAGUUCCCAGGGAACAGGCACCGGCGGGGGAGAGGGUGGAGGAGCGGUGAACGGCGGCGGCGGAGGAAGCGGGAAUGGCCAGGGAACUGCUCAGAGUGGAAGUGGAGGAACCCAUGCAAGUGCUGGAGGAGGCGGCGGCGGGGGUGGUUGGUCAGGGUUUAAUGGUGCUGGGUAUGGUGCUGGGUCCGGUAGCGGCUCAAGCUCUGGCCAGAUGAGCCAAGGAUCAUCAAAUUAUGGUGGUGAUGGUGGGAGUACAAGUGCAGGUGGUUCCGGUGGCGGCGGCGGUGGUGGAGAGGCGGACGACGAUGACGACUGCCCUGCUGACCCCAGUGGCUUUGGGACAGGUGGCGGCACCGGAUCUGGAUCCAGCGAGGCGAAUAAUGAUGGUGAUGCCUCCUACACAAAUGCAAAUGCUUCUGGUAAUGGUGGCGGCGAGGGCGGUGGUAAAAAUGGUGGAACCGGUGGUGGCACAGGCAGUGGAAACGGAUACGGUGACGCAAACCCUUGA
RNAcentral lists this ribosomal RNA (594 nucleotides) under Triticum aestivum (bread wheat). RNAcentral's name for it is "partial small subunit ribosomal RNA". Lineage: Eukaryota; Viridiplantae; Streptophyta; Magnoliopsida; Poales; Poaceae. The record is from RNAcentral.